GUGGCUCAGUGGUAGAGCACUUGGUUUGCAUGCAUGAGGCCCUGGGUUCGAUUCCCCAGC
This 60-nucleotide transfer RNA is filed under the name Dipodomys ordii (Ord's kangaroo rat). It matches the Rfam family "tRNA", at positions 7 to 64 of the family's 71-position model. From Rfam's summary of the family: Transfer RNA (tRNA) molecules are approximately 80 nucleotides in length. Lineage: Eukaryota; Metazoa; Chordata; Mammalia; Rodentia; Heteromyidae. The record is from Rfam by way of RNAcentral.